RNAcentral lists this ribosomal RNA (249 nucleotides) under Diversispora epigaea. Lineage: Eukaryota; Fungi; Glomeromycota; Glomeromycetes; Diversisporales; Diversisporaceae. The record is from RNAcentral.
CAGUCGCGUCGGCUGGAAAUCAACCUUGCUUUUGCUGGGUGUACUUUCUAGUUGACGGGCCAGCAUCAGUUUUGACCGGUGGAAAAAGUCCAAGGGAAUGUGGCACCUUCGGGUGUGUUAUAGCCCCUUUCCGCAUACGCCGGUUGGGAUCGAGGACCUUCAGUGCACGCUUCGGUUGUGCUUUGAUGCUGGCGUAAUGGCUUUAAGCCGACCCGUCUUGAAACACGGACCAAGGAGUCUAACAUAUGU